Panicum hallii is the source of this 953-nucleotide long non-coding RNA. RefSeq lists it as uncharacterized. The record is from RefSeq and is a predicted model, not a curated record. Lineage: Eukaryota; Viridiplantae; Streptophyta; Magnoliopsida; Poales; Poaceae. The transcript is spliced from 3 exons.
GAUCUCCUGGACGCCGCCGCCGCCUCCUCCUAUUCUCCUCGAUUCGCAACUCCUCGCAGCCGACCUGCUUGGCGUUGAGCCUCCACCCCCCUCCAUGGCCACCGCCCAGCAGCAUCUGCAUCCAUUAGCUCCAAAUCGGUGUGGCUGCGGGGCGCGACGGCGGAGAACGCGCAACGGCCGCGGUGGCGGCAUACCUCGCCAUGGCGACGAAGGAGCUUGUGGACCAUGGCGGAGGUGGCUUGGCAACAGAUCGAGGCGGCACUCCUGCAGAUCUAGCUGGCAUGGAGGCGGCGGUCAUAACAAGUUCUGCUUGGCCUUCCCCUCACCGGCCAAGCACUCCGCUUUUCUCUCCCUCUCUCUCUCUCUCCCAAUUAUCUCUGUCACCAAAUCCCCCUCUCAGAUCUGCUCUCUCUCCUCCCCUAGCAGAUGGCUUCGCAUGGGGACACGACACGGCAGCCAUGGUGGUGGCGCUCCUCUAUGAGCACGGCCAAUGGUGCAGCAAUUCAAGACGUUUCAGGUAGAAAAAUGCAAUGGGGUGGAGAUAAAAGAAAGUGUCAUCUUGCUUCCGUUCAACUUCAAGGUACAGAAGUGCCAUCUUGCUUCAGUGCAACUAGAAGGUGAAUUUCAGUUGAUCUUUAGUUUACUUGACUAAAAGAUAUACUGAGCUUGCACAAGUUUAGAUAACUAGCUGGGAGUCAUACAUAAGGAGUUGUAGAGUUUAAAGCAAUCUAUCAUAUGAUGAUUUUAGAUCUCAAAAAUGUAUACUCGCGGAGUUCUCAUAUGAUGACUAUAGAUCUAAAAGAAUAUAUAUUAAGUACUCAUUUAUUUAUUUUAUUCCAAUAGCUUGAUGGAUGUCAAUCUGAUCUGUAUGUAACAUGUAAAUGGAGUUAUCAGACAAGCUGGUCUUGAUGGAGCUGAAAAAUUGUAAAUACAGGUGCAAGUCUGUUUGUGUA